This 772-nucleotide long non-coding RNA is filed under the name Canis lupus familiaris (dog). RNAcentral's name for it is "lncRNA (ENSCAFG00030005810.1)". The record is from RNAcentral. Lineage: Eukaryota; Metazoa; Chordata; Mammalia; Carnivora; Canidae.
AACCCAUUCCUGCUCUUCAGAAGUCUCAUGAAUAGGCUGCUCAGACAUUCCAGGCAAAAAAGAGCCUCAGGCAGGGCCUGGAUGGAACAUGGGCGUCCUGACCCAACUCCUCUGCUCUCUGCGGUCCUGCCUGCCAGCUGCUAGCAGGCACGCUGGGCUGACCCGGUGCCGGCUCCCCUCUGCGUCCCUGAGACACAGCGUGUCCGUCACCUGCAGGCCCAGUAGAGCAUCAGCGAUCACUUCAGCUGGUAUCCGCAGAAACCAGGCCGGGCUCCUGAGCUUCGCAUCUGUGAUACUAGUAACCGAAAGCCUGGAGUCCCACAGGUUCUCCGCGAGUCAGCUGGACACCGAAUUCAUCCUCAGAAUCAGCACGGUGGGGGCUGAGGGUCCUGCCAGUUAUCACUGCCCCGGGAGUAUACACUGCCCCCCAGGUGCCGCAACCGGAGCAUUAACCACAGGGACUGGGGUUCCAGCUGCGCCCUCCGCCUGUGGUCGGUUCGUGGGGGCAGGGUCUUCUUUGGGGACCGCCUCGGCAGGGCGCAAGGGCCAUGGCCUGCAAGGGACUUUGUCCUUGAAAAGCUUCCUGUUUGAACAACAGUGGAUGCUAUCAAAGGAGGCUUCUGGGUCAGGUCUGCAAAGGAAUUUGUCCACAGCAAGGUCUUUGAAUCCCUUCUCUGAGAAACACUCUGGGAGGUUUUUUGUUUUAAGAUCGAGAAUUAGGGACGCCUGGGUGUCUCAGUGGUUGAGGGUCUGCCUUUGGCUAAGGUCGUGA